RNAcentral lists this microRNA precursor (193 nucleotides) under Corchorus capsularis. Its description in RNAcentral is "pre miRNA MIR159". It matches the Rfam family "MIR159 microRNA precursor family". Lineage: Eukaryota; Viridiplantae; Streptophyta; Magnoliopsida; Malvales; Malvaceae. The record is from Rfam by way of RNAcentral.
ACCCAAAGAACGGGGCUCUCUGAACUCCAAACCUGAAAGGAGGUGAUGGUAGGCUACGGCUGCUGGUUCAUGCGAAUUCCCCUGGAUGCGCAUGGCUAGGCUUGGCGCAGGCUAAGGGUUUGCAUGAACUUGGAGACGUUGCUGCCUUGAUCUUUUUGGCAUUGGAGUGAAGGGAGCUCCGUUUUUGCUUUUC